AUUGAACGCUGGCGGAAUGCUUUACACAUGCAAGUCGAGCGGCAGCACGGGGGCAACCUUGGUUGCGAGCGGCGAACGGGUGAGUAACACACCGGAACAUGCCCAGUCGUGGGUGGUAACACUUUGAAAGAAGUGCUAAUACUGCAUACGUCCUGCGGGAGAAAGCGGGGGAUCGCAAGACCUCGCGCGAUUGUAGUGGUCGAUGUCAGAUUAGCUAGUUGGUGGGGUAAGGGCCUACCAAGGCAACGAUCUGUAGAUGGUCGGAGAGGAUGAUAAGCCACAUUGGGACUGAGACACGGCCCAGACUCCUACGAGAGGGAGCAGAGGGGAAUUUUAGGCAAUGGGGGCGACCCUGAUCCAGCCAGACCGCGUGAGUGAAGAAGGCGUUCGGGGUGGGAAGCUCUUUCGGCAGUAGCGAAACGGUGAGCUCUAACAUAGCUUGCUAAUGACGGUACCUGAAGAAGAAGCACCGGCUAACUACGUG
Molecule: ribosomal RNA, 484 nt
Filed under: uncultured bacterium
Lineage: Bacteria
Description: partial 16S ribosomal RNA
Rfam family: Bacterial small subunit ribosomal RNA
Source: RNAcentral